UACGUAGGGUGCGAGCGUUGUCCGGAAUUAUUGGGCGUAAAGAGCUUGUAGGCGGUUUGUCGCGUCUGCUGUGAAGAUCCGGGGCUCAACCCCGGACUUGCAGUGGGUACGGGCAGACUAGAGUGUGGUAGGGGAGAUUGGAAUUCCUGGUGUAGCGGUGGAAUGCGCAGAUAUCAGGAGGAACACCAAUGGCGAAGGCAGAUCUCUGGGCCGUAACUGACGCUGAGGAGCGAAAGCAUGGGGGAGCGAACAGG
RNAcentral lists this ribosomal RNA (254 nucleotides) under uncultured bacterium. RNAcentral describes it as "partial 16S ribosomal RNA". It matches the Rfam family "Bacterial small subunit ribosomal RNA", at positions 524 to 776 of the family's 1533-position model. The record is from RNAcentral.